GUGGGGAAUCUUGCGCAAUGGGCGAAAGCCUGACGCAGCCAUGCCGCGUGAAUGAUGAAGGUCUUAGGAUUGUAAAAUUCUUUCACCGGGGACGAUAAUGACGGUACCCGGAGAAGAAGCCCCGGCUAACUCCGUGCCAGCAGCCGCGGUAAUACGAAGGGGGCUAGCGUUGCUCGGAAUUACUGGGCGUAAAGGGCGCGUAGGCGGAUAUUUAAGUCGGGGGUGAAAGCCCGGGGCUCAACCUCGGAAUAGCCUUCGAUACUGGAUAUCUUGAGUACGGGAGAGGUGUGGGGAACUCCGAGUGUAGAGGUGAAAUUCGUAGAUAUUCGGAAGAACACCAGUGGCGAAGGCGACACACUGGCCCGUUACUGACGCUGAGGCGCGAAAGCGUGGGGAGCAAACAGGAUUAGAUACCCCAGUAGUCC
RNAcentral lists this ribosomal RNA (425 nucleotides) under uncultured bacterium. Its description in RNAcentral is "partial 16S ribosomal RNA". It matches the Rfam family "Bacterial small subunit ribosomal RNA", at positions 354 to 796 of the family's 1533-position model. The record is from RNAcentral.